CCUACGGGAGGCAGCAGUAGGGAAUAUUGCUCAAUGGGGGAAACCCUGAAGCAGCAACGCCGCGUGUAGGAUGAAGGUUUUCGGAUUGUAAACUCCUUUUGUUAGAGAGGAUAAUGACGGUAUCUAACGAAUAAGCACCGGCUAACUCCGUGCCAGCAGCCGCGGUAAUACGGAGGGUGCAAGCGUUACUCGGAAUCACUGGGCGGAAAGAGCGCGUAGGCGGGAUAGCAAGUCAGAUGUGAAAUCCCAGGGCUUAACCAGAGAACUGCAUUUGAAACUGUUAUUCUAGAGUAUGGGAGAGGUAGGUGGAAUUCUUGGUGUAGGGGUAAAAUCCGUAGAGAUCAAGAGGAAUACUCAUUGCGAAGGCGACCUGCUAGAACAUAACUGACGCUGAUGCGCGAAAGCGUGGGGAGCAAACAGGAUUAGAUACCCCUGUAGUC
This 440-nucleotide ribosomal RNA is filed under the name uncultured bacterium. RNAcentral describes it as "partial 16S ribosomal RNA". It matches the Rfam family "Bacterial small subunit ribosomal RNA", at positions 338 to 795 of the family's 1533-position model. The record is from RNAcentral.